AGGAUUAUAGUUUAAAAAAAACAUUUAAGUUGCAGUUAAAAAUUAUUGUAAAAACCAAUUUAUCUUA
RNAcentral lists this transfer RNA (67 nucleotides) under Dromaeolus sp. ZM-2022. Its description in RNAcentral is "tRNA-Ala". Lineage: Eukaryota; Metazoa; Arthropoda; Insecta; Coleoptera; Eucnemidae. The record is from RNAcentral.